Triticum aestivum (bread wheat) is the source of this 137-nucleotide non-coding RNA. NCBI's taxonomy places the organism in Eukaryota, Viridiplantae, Streptophyta, Magnoliopsida, Poales, Poaceae. The record is from Rfam.
AUUCUACUCCCUCCGUUGCACAAUGCAUGCCUUCUAUUUGUCAAAAUAUAUAUGUAUCUAGACAUUUUUUUAGUAUAUAGGUACAUCCAUUUUUGGACAAAUGGAAGUCAAGUAUUUUGGAACGGAGGGAAUACACA